Phyllopteryx taeniolatus (common seadragon) is the source of this 1918-nucleotide long non-coding RNA. RefSeq lists it as uncharacterized. The transcript has 2 exons. NCBI's taxonomy places the organism in Eukaryota, Metazoa, Chordata, Actinopteri, Syngnathiformes, Syngnathidae. The record is from RefSeq and is a predicted model, not a curated record.
AUUUAGAGUCGUCAAACAACCUACCACGCAUGUUUUUGGGAUGUGGGAGGAAACCGGAGUACCCAGAGAAAACUCACACAGGCACGGGGAGACAAUGCAAACUCCACACAGGCGAGGCCAGAUUUGAACCCGGGUCCUCAGAACUGUGAGGCAGAUGUGAUAACCAGCCGUCCGCCGUGUGUGUAAAAAAGUGAUAAUUGAAAAACAGAAAAAAAAAUAAAAAAGAGAAAUAUAAAGUGCCAGUACGCUGCAGAGUCAAUACAUUAUUUAGCGACACACUUCCCAGACACGUCAUAAUCUUAGCCUAUCCUAGCUGACUUUAGGCGAGAGCCAGGGUACACCCUGGAUUGGUCGCCAGAUAAUCACUGGGCACGUAGACAGACAACAAUUUACACUUGCAUUGACACUUAUGGACAAUUUAGUCUUCAAUUAUGAAAGUGCUUAUUUUUUCGAAUGUGGGAGGAAGCUGCAAUACCCUAGACACAGGAGGCUGGGUAACAAGUGGUUUGUACUUCUGCCCCACGGUUGAGAGGUUCUGGGUUUGAAUCUUGGCUACAGGUUGUGUGGGUUUUCUCUCUUCCUCCCACCUUCCCCAAAACAUGCAUGUUAGAUUCACUAAGAAUGGUUGCCGGUUUAUAUAGACUUACUUUUGUUCAGCUGGAAGCGGGGCCUUAGACAAGAUUAUGAAUCGUUCCAAAUGCAGAUUUCUGCUAGAAAGCCCUGGUGUGUAGGGGGUGUGUAGACUUUUUAUAUCUACUGUAAUGUGUAUGUGAAGUUUCCAUGCGAGGAUCUGCACAAACAACCAUUCACACCUAUGGAUAAUGUAACAAACAAACAUGAUUUUUUUUUUUCUUCAUCACGUAACAAAGGUAGUGUUUUGCAAUGUGAAGCGUCACGUGAUACCUCGGAGCCGCAUUGUGCAACUUCAAGACAACCUACCUUCUCGUGACAGUGACUCAUCACGUUGCGAAGCGGGGAUUGCCCACCUGACUUCAACCCGGUGACAUCAUCACCUGCUUGUGGCGCAGCUGGAAAAGCACCAGAGGAGAGCGGGGGCCAAGGGCACGAGUCGUUUGGAACGCCACUCUGCUCCUUACAACAAACUGAGAUCUGUGCAAUGAGCUUCUUCUCGUCAGAUUUCAACAUGGACAUAAUGACUGUUUCUCUUGGCUGCACUGCUUCCAGAACAUGUACUGUAUGCGGAUGUUCGAUUUUUUGGUCUAAUCAGAUUCCAGUCGCUAUGUGCUGCAAUGUGACUCUUAUCUGCCCUGCAGAAUCAGUAGUGCUCGCCCAUGUUACGUCUACUGCACUACCCGCAAAACGUUUAGGAUGUUGGACUGUUGGGUGAAAUUUCCAGAUGAACCUGAAGCCCGCCGGUCGAACCCGAUUGGACUGGACAAUCGCAAAAAAAAGGACGUGACGACUCACGCCCGCACAUUGAGCGACUGGAUGUGUAUAUAAUGUAUUUUUCACUCCCAUUCCCUUGAAUGUACUCAGCGCGGUACGUACCGCACGCAUACAUUUUGGCCACAAGCUUCGAUUUUUCAUCCACAGUCACAUUAUAAAUUAUAAAUAUAGUUAAGUAUUCUUAUAAAACACAAUAUCUGCAUACUUUGUAAUAUAUUUGUAUGGGUCGGGGGUUGGCACGGCGGCCGUUCUGUCUUGCUUGCUAAAAAACGGGAAAUGUAUUUUUAGCGUGAGUGAAGGCUUACGUGCAUUUUGAUUGGCUGAUAUCUGCGACAUUGCGGCACUAUGCACCAGGGACUCAAACUUUUUGACCUUCUCUAAAAUUGUCAUUGUAACUGUUGUUACAUUUAAUGUUUCAGUACUUUCUGCACAUUUUCUGUUCUCUCACAAGGAGCAGAAAAGCAAAAUUCACAACAGGCAUUUGAUUCAAUAAAGUUUCCAAGGACGUCCA